ACACCUGGAAGGAAGAAGACCUGAGGGGACGAAGAAGAGCCGCUGGAGGACGAGGAGAGUGUCGCGAGCGUGCGAGGGGCUUCAAUUUCUGAAGGUCCGCUGCAUUGUGCGUGCCGUGACAGGUACGGCCGCCGCAAGUCAACUGAUCUGACUUAAGCGCCAAGUAUUAUUUAUAUAGCAUCGUGGCGGCAUGUGUCGAGAGCUCCGACUCGCGCUACGAGGUAUCGUGCACGCGUAUCGUGCGUACCGUUUCGCUCCCGAAGCCCCCUCCCCCGGCACGGGGGGAGGGGGGCACCACCCGGUAAGGGAGGAGAGCGAGGGUUCCGCCUUCGCCGUUCAUUCAGUCGGCCGAUUGACAGCCGAUGGGUAAUCCGGCUGUCAGGUACCACGCAUGUCGCUCCACGAGACGACAUCCACCCUGAUGGAUGCUGUCGGGGAGGACGUGCCGCGCGGGGGCUGCGGAGAGGAGGGAACCCGAUCGAGGGCACGAGACCGAUUCCGCAUCGCGGGCGUUUAAGUCGCCGAGCGGAAACCCGAACGCUGCUCUGCGACUAACUCGAUGCGCGAAUGCGCUUGCGUGCUCCAAGGGAAUAUCCGCGUGCAGGCUUGAAAUCAAAUUGUUUUAAAUCACUAGAGGAGUCGCAACGGCGUAUUUGGCGUUACCCGAUUUGCGAUUUGCAUCGCUCAUCGACAAGACGAUAUUUGAUAAAAAACGAGGACUCUUCGUGAAGAAAGAGUGUGACGCUACGCGACCAUGAAUCUCAUGUGGGAGUAGCGUGAGGUCGAUGAAUUUGGUUGAAUCACGGCCGUCCUUAGUCUUCGCAGUUCACCUUCCAGACGAGCGUUGUACGAGAGCGCACGAGAGCGCGGAUGAUCAUCGCAUAAAUUAAGAACCGCACGCAUUAUUCAUCGGAGGGUCGUGUGUUCGUUUCGAAACAUCCAUCUUUAUUUGAACCUGGGACGUACAUUAAAAUAAUAAAUACCCACGGCCCGAUCGUACCGUGUCGCCGAUCUUAAAACAAAAAAUGUAUAUAAGAGCGUUUCUCUCUCACAUGUAUCUCGGUAUAAAAAUCUUAGAUCGGUUUCCUAUUUGUCACACGCGCAUGCAAAGUUCAUUAAUGCGUACAUAUCUUUGCCGUGAGAUUAGAUUGACUUCGCGGAUAAUAUCUACAUCAUUUCUAACUGAAUAACAGAUUUUGUUUUACCAAUUACUGAUUUAAAAGAUCCAGUUGUGAUUGUAAACCUAUGCAUGCUUGCAGGCAAAGAAAGAAAUUUUUGAUGAAUAAAUGCAUAAUUCAUAACAUAAUGCUGAUUUAAUCGCGUAAUUGUUACAGCAUAAUUUUAAUAGUAAACUAUGUCAUAGUCAACAAAACACUGGUAAUUUUUUUCUAAGACAGCAAUGCACAUAUUAUGUAUAAAAUAUAUAUAAAGUUUAUUAUAAACUUAAAGGUAUUUAUUUGGUCUACCGUAUAUAUUACUUGCUCGAGUUUAUAUCACGAAAAAUCAUUAUUAGUGUUUCAUUCAAUCAAUCGGGCAUUCAAAAUUCAAGGCAUGGAAAAAAAAGAUUAAUAUUGCAUUAUUGGUAAUAAAAAGAUUACUUGGUAAAAUCAUUGGUUUUUGGCACACGUUUAAUAGCUAAAUAGCUCUCGAUUAGUUAGAUAGGG
This is a long non-coding RNA of Ooceraea biroi (clonal raider ant), 1664 nucleotides long. RefSeq lists it as uncharacterized. Lineage: Eukaryota; Metazoa; Arthropoda; Insecta; Hymenoptera; Formicidae. The record is from RefSeq and is a predicted model, not a curated record.